AUACUCGGGGAUAGCCUUUCGAAAGAAAGAUUAAUAUCCGAUAGCAUAUAUUUCCCGCAUGGGUUUUAUAUUAAAGAAAUUCGGUAUGAGAUGGGGAUGCGUUCCAUUAGUUUGUUGGGGGGGUAACGGCCCACCAAGACUACGAUGGAUAGGGGUUCUGAGAGGAAGGUCCCCCACAUUGGAACUGAGACACGGUCCAA
Molecule: ribosomal RNA, 200 nt
Filed under: uncultured bacterium
Lineage: Bacteria
Description: partial 16S ribosomal RNA
Rfam family: Bacterial small subunit ribosomal RNA
Source: RNAcentral